GUGCCAGCCGCCGCGGUAAUACGGAGGGGGUUAGCGUUGUUCGGAAUUACUGGGCGUAAAGCGCGCGUAGGCGGACAUUUAAGUCAGAGGUGAAAUCCCGGGGCUCAACCCCGGAACGGCCUUUGAUACUGGGUGUCUUGAGUUCGAGAGAGGUGAGUGGAAUUCCGAGUGUAGAGGUGAAAUUCGUAGAUAUUCGGAGGAACACCAGUGGCGAAGGCGGCUCACUGGCUCGAUACUGACGCUGAGGUGCGAAAGUGUGGGGAGCAAACAGGAUUAGAAACCCUGGUAGUCC
Molecule: ribosomal RNA, 292 nt
Filed under: uncultured bacterium
Lineage: Bacteria
Description: partial 16S ribosomal RNA
Rfam family: Bacterial small subunit ribosomal RNA
Source: RNAcentral